Molecule: ribosomal RNA, 253 nt
Filed under: uncultured bacterium
Lineage: Bacteria
Description: partial 16S ribosomal RNA
Rfam family: Bacterial small subunit ribosomal RNA
Source: RNAcentral
GACGGGGGAUGCAAGCGUUAUCCGGAAUCACUGGGCGUAAAGCGUCUGUAGGUGGUGAUGCAAGUCACUGGUGCAAAACUCUGGCUCAACCGGAGGAAAGCCAGUGAAACUGCAUGACUAGAGGGUGGGAGAGGUAGAAGGAAUUCCCUGAGUAGCGGUGAAAUGAGUAGAUACAGGGAAGAACACCGGAGGCGAAGGCGUUCUACUGGAACACAACUGACACUGAGAGACGAAAGCUAGGGGAGCGAAUGGG